RNAcentral lists this long non-coding RNA (6721 nucleotides) under Homo sapiens (human). Its description in RNAcentral is "novel transcript". Lineage: Eukaryota; Metazoa; Chordata; Mammalia; Primates; Hominidae. The record is from RNAcentral.
GGAAACGGCCGUGGGCAUUUUGGUGUAUUUUUAUUCAACUUUGAAAGACAUAUUUUAUUUUUACACAUUUUAUUUUAUACAGUAUAGACAUACAUAUGCAUACACGCCUCCUCUCAUGACAUUAAACUUUUGCACAACUUCACAAUUGUAAAUGAUCACAGAAAAAUGCCUCAAAAUGAAUGUAUCAUAUCCUAGCCCCACCACUUAACCUCUCUGUGCCUCAGUUUUCUCCUCUGUAAAACGGGGAUAAUAAUAGUAUCUACUUUAUAAGUUGCUUGUAAGGGUUCAAUGUGAUUAUGGUGUGAAUGUGGGAAGCGCUCAGAAAGUAUCAUUUUCAUUAUUAUUAGAACUAUUAUUCCUUAAUUGCAAACAUUUAAAUUCUAAUUUUAUUCUAUUGCAAAUGACACUGUAAUGAAUCUCUCUGCUCGGGAGGGUUGUGUGGGAACCUCAGGGAGCUUGCUUCACCCACCCCCGCCCCCCAAAUUAAGCACAACAGGGACAGAGAGAGCGAGGUGUGCUGGGAGGCCCCGUGGCUAAAAGUUAGGAGACCAGAUCUUGGCACUGGCAGCCUGGGGAAGGAGGGCAAAGGGGUGGGGGUGCAGGGAAUGGCAUCUGUGAAAGCUCAGAAGCUUCUAGAAGAGCAUGGGAAGUUCUGAUGUGGUUGCUGGGAUGGCAGUUCUUGUCCCUAUUUGACCUAUGGGUAAUUGAGGGCCAGGAAAGGGGUGACUUGUCUGAUGACGUGGAUGGGCACCAAGUCUGAGCUUCCUGGCUCUCCACAUGCCUGAAAAACAUCUGUGUUUGUUGGGAGAAGGAGAUGAAGAAGAGGAGGAGGAGGAAGAAUUUGGGGCUUUCGAAGCAUGCAUGCCUGUGUGCCCCUGCCCAAUCAAGGUUCAGCUGUCCUGCAAAGCAACCCAGCGGGUCCUGUGAGCUGGAGGCCAGUUUGCCCUGUUUGUCUCCAUGGGUCUUUUCCCUGAUGUCUCCCAAACAGAGACCGUUGGGCUGGCAGCUGGCAGGUCUCCUGAGCUCCACCCUCACCUCCCAUCCCUUCAACCCAGUAGCCUUGCAGACAAAGGCUGGAAAGCCAGGUCCCAUUUCCAGUCAUCAUCCACAGUGCAUAAUUAGGCAGUGCUUGCCUUGUGUUUAUUUAAAGAAGGAGUGUGAACUUGGCAUCAGUGCUUCUGCCAAGAGGGAAGAGCCCCGGAAGGCCCAGAGAAAGCUGGGGGCUUGGGCAGCAGGGGUUUGAGGCCUGAGAGGCCAGGCCGGCCUGUGGUAUAGACAUCGACAAGCAAAGUUUGAGGACUCCUGAAAGUUCUCCAAAAUCUUACCUGCUACCUGUCACCAUUCUCAGUCCGUUAUUAGAACUGUAGCUUCUCAACAGCUUUCUAAGUUCCAAAGAAAAUGCAAAUUAAUACUUCUUGGGGCGCCUCUAUCCUUUAUGGUCUGAAUUUGAGAACAUUGCAAUAGCAGCCUCAUUGCUGCACUAGUCCAAACACUUCUGUGUAACCCUCUUCCACAUGCAGUACUGAGGAGUUCUUGCUGCCUACUGUUUACAGAGGGUAGUCCAAGAAAUAAGAAAUGUCAGUCCCACAUGGUGAAAACUCUGCACUCUAGGGCUUGGGAAUUAUCUGCUAAUAAGACCUGACAUUUCUGAAGGCCAUUAUGAGUUAAACCUCAGGCUCAGAAUGUAUAAUGGGGAGAGAUUCUAGAUACUUCUAGACCACUCUUCUCAUGGAGUAGAAAAAAAUGUAGAGAAACCUCAGAGAGGGGAAGGGACUUACCUACACCAGUUAACGGUAGAGCUAGGACUAGAACACAGGUCUCCUGAUUUCAGUCUCAACUCUCAGGCACCAUGUUGCUUCCCUCCAUUCAAAGAUCAGUGAGGGGGCAGUCAGCACCAGCUGGAGUGUGGCAGUGAAGAGCUCACAGUCCCUGCCCAAGAGGAGCUCCCAGAGGCUGACAAGGGUAUGGGAACAGGGACUCAUCUGAAUCAGAGUGGGUGGAGUUUAGACAGGGGUGGGUCUGAAGAACUGUGGGGAACAGGGUGGUGAGACAGACAUCAGCAAAUUUCCCAAGGGGGUUAGCACAGGAGGUUGAAGGAUGAAUGGGGCUUCUUUACCAGGAGACAUAGGGAAAGGUGUUCCGGGAAAAGGGAAGGGCAAACUCAUGGGAAAAGGAGGCUGAUUUCUCCUGUUCCCAGGUUACAGUGGAUUCCCUGCGGGCUUAACCAGGAUCCCUAGCGCUCAGUGCAGACCCUCCCACGGCAGGGCCCGAGGCUGUAAUCUGUAACCUUAUUGUGACAUAUAUAGUUACAAAGAGAUUGGUUGGACAGGAUGGAUUUUAAUCGAAAAGAGUUAGCCUCUACUGGUGGAAAUGCGGACAUUGUGGCAGGUGAUGAGAAGAAUCCUUUUUGGGGUAGCAGUGGUGAAAACGCUUGCAUGGGUGCGCUGGCAUGCGUGCAGGGACACCUCUUCCUUGUUCUCAAUUCUGUUGACUUUCAAAUUGCAGUUUAAGAGCCAUCUUCCCAUGUCCAACUGUUAAGGUGGCCACUACCCCCUCCCUCUUCUGGACCAUGCCAUCCCCUGCUCUGAGUCUCAGUUUCUCCACAUGUAAAAUGAGGCAGGUGGACUUGCUUGUCUUAAAGGCCCCUUCUGCCUGGGGCUGGUUCUUUAGCCCAGUCUCUGCUUCUCCCUCUGCGGGGAUGUCAGAGGCGCCCUCUCGUGGUCAAUAUUGGCCAUGCAUCCUUGGACUUGGCGCAGGUUUUUGCUUGGCCUCUGAGGGUGUGUGCUUGUGUGUGCAUGUGCGUGUGAGCGUGCCUGUGUACUGGGAGUGGUUACACAGCGGGUGCGUGACAGGCUCAUGACACAUAGAAUGCAGAGCUUCGCUAACUCUCAGACCCUGAUGAAAACACAGAUAAGGAGGUGGGGGUCAUUUAAAAUAAGGGCAAAACCUGCUAAAAGCUUCCUGGGGCCCUUGCCUGGGACACCUAGAGUUCCAAAAUGCCCUAGGCCACCCAUCUUGCUAAUAUACUUUGAGAGCAUCACUCCUCUGCUCAGAAUCUCAUCCUGCCACCCCUCUGCUGAACAGAGUAAACAUCAAACUCCUGGCCCUCCAGAAUACCUGUGGCCUCACUUCUCACUCUUCUUUCCUAUACCACUCCAGGUGAACCACUCCAUCCUUCCCAUCCCCUAUCCUCAGCUUAUGCUGGGAUUUUUUUUCCCAGAGUGUCCUACCCUCUCCUUUAGUCCCCCAUAGCACCUUUCAAGAUGUGGCUAAAAUGCCACCUCCUCCAGGAAGACUCCCUGAAUUUUCCCACUUGGAUCUGUGCUCUCUUUCCUCUGAACCUCCUGGCAACUUUGUCUAUAACUGUCUCCUGGGAUGUAGACAGUUUUAGAGUUUACCCAGGUAAUUUAGGUCGAAGAUGUCCUGUUUUGUUCCCCCUACUCAAAAACUGGCUCCAUGACUGCUUUAUAUCUGGGUCCUUCUAAAUACUGAGCCUUCCCCAUGGCAUCCAGGCAUCCCUCUGCAAGGCCCUGAUUCCCACUCCUUCCCUCUGCCUCCUCCUUCAGUAGGGGCUGCUGUCAUGCAAGGAGGUCUGGCAGUGGAGGAAGAAGACAUGAGCCUUGGGCCAGACUCUUACUGGAUUCCCACCCCACCUGCCCCGUCUUCAGCAGACAAGCUGGUACCCAGCACAAAGGCUCCAGCUGCUGAGCUGUGUGUGGGAGCCUGGUCUCUGGGUGCCCAGAAUGAAGGGUCAGACCCAGGUCACUGCCUGACUCUUUCUUUCAAGGACCGAAGUAAGAACUACAGGCCUAACAGUAACAUCCCUGGCUAUUUGUAGAAGUCCGCUUGGUCGGUCCAUGCUCUAUAACAUGAAUUUCUCAUACAACCCAUUUUUAGAUGGGGAAACAAGAGCUCAGAGAGGCUAGGUAACUUGUUCAAGAUCACACAGCUCUGAGUGCAAGUGUUCAAACAUAGUCCCCACUUUCCAUCCGUCUCCAAAUCCUGUGCAGUUUCUGGAAUAUUCUGCUGUCACUGUGCCUUGCACAAAUCCAGGUUUUGAUAAAUUCCUGGAUAAUAAAAGGCAGACAUGAGUCAACAUAUAACCAGCUCUUUCUCUUUGACUUCCAUAUUGCCCCAGGCCCACACGCGGACCUCUGCAUGAGGGAAGAGUGACAGAACUGGGUUUGUCUGAGAGGGUGAUGGCUCGGGGGGCCAAAGGGAGAGGUGAACCCUGCAUCCCAGGAGGGGUGAAUUCUCUGAUGUGAAUCAUCUGGGUGGUAGGGAGUAAUGGGUCCUGGGCAUGGUGGGGACUGUCACACCCUGAUGCGCUGUCCCAGUUAGGUUGGAGGAGGCUGGGAGGGCCAUCUGACCACAAUGCAGGUCUGUUGCGGACCUCAAGGAGCCUGCAGGGAGUGCAGCCACCUCAGGCACACACCUUGGUGAUAGAUUUUACUGCUCAGCUGCUGAAGCCAUUGGUCAAUGAUGCUCCUCACAGUCAGAGAUCUGAGAGGGGCAUUUUCACAGCCACCACAGACCUUCUGCCUCCCAGGGCCUCCUCACUGGCCUGGCCUGGAGGACUGCCACUGGCACCCACAGUUAGAGGGAAGGAAGUUUCAGGCCUCUGUAACCCAGGAGAGAAGUCCACUAGUCCAGUCCAGGCCAGGUGUCCAGCUCUGGUGGGUGGAACCAUUUGCCCAGCUGUCCUUUGGCUGAGGGUUGGGGCCUGACCUCUGAAGUGAAGGCACCCACAGAGCUGGCCAUUGAGGCAAAUGUCCAGAAUCCUGGGGCAUGGGCACCGGCAGGGGAGAUGAGGUCAUGUGAGAUGUAGGUGCCACUCUCUUGCAGAACCCACCCUCGCACCUUGGCACACAGUGGCUCCACGAGGCCAAGAGCUGGUCUCUUGUUUAUCUGGGUGUAGGGCGUGCACACUGCCUGGAACUGACAGUGUCAGGGACUUCUGCUGGCCAGGACAGACCCCAUGCCUACUCAAUGGCCAUCAGCCCUAGGGCAGCAACAUCAGGAUCUGUCUUCCCCAUUGGUCAGGGGGCUUGUGGUAGGUUCAAACCACUGAUGGCAAGCAGUCCAGGCUCUAGUGUUGGUUUGGGGUCUGGCUCUCUCACUAACCUGAGCAAGUCCCUUACAUCCCCAGGGCUCAGUUUCCUUAUCUGUUGAGUAGAGAUCAUCACACUGAUGGCGAAGAGGCCUUGUGGUAUGGAGGGUUUGGGUUCAACUUUUUUUUUUUUGAGCUGAUUUGAAUCCCAUUUCCCUGGUUAUUUGCUAUAUGGCCUUAGGCAAGUUACUCAAUCUCUUGAAGACUCAAUUUCCCAUCUACAAAAUGGGAGUGAAGAAGAAUCUCUUCUUCUUUCCAAGAAAUGUACAUGUGAGGAUUCAAUAAGGGAACGCUCAGGCAGCUCUGAGCACAGCAUCUGGAGCGUCACUGCGAUGUGGCAGCACGCUCUGCAGCAUGCAGGACAGACACACUCCUUCCUCUCUCCUCCUUCACCUCUUCCCCAGCCCCACCCCUCACAUCUCCUUGGCUAAUGGGUCAAGCAGUGGUCAGUGUCUGGCCAACAGUGGAGACUCAACCAUGCACAGAGAGUGAAAAUGCAGUGCGCACCUCCUGUCCAGGUAGCCCCAACCUCAUUCAUUCACUUCCAGAAUGGCAGGUGCUGUGCUGAAUGCCUGGGAAGAUGGCCCCAAUGUUCCUCCCCAAGGGAUUGCCAGUCACAUCAGCACAGCACGGGAUGGAUCCUGCUGUGCCAACACUCUCUGCAGGCUUGUGGGGACCCUGGCUGAGAUGUCUGGACACCUGGAUUUCAAUCCGGUCUUUGCCAUCCACUCCCUGUGUGGCCCUCCCCCGCAAACUAAAUAAAAAUUUCAUGAGUUGGGGAAGGAGACUCAAGGGGAAGUGAGACGAGAGGACGGAAGUGAGUUGAAGAGCAGGGAGGAGCCUGGAGCCUGGAGCCUGGGCCUCCCUGUGCUGUGAUGUGUGCCAGAGUGGAAGCGGAAGUGGAAGCAGAAGCAGAAGUGGUCCUGCCGGUAGGUGUGACUGGCCUCACAGAGCUGCCAGGAUGCACCUGAGUGCUCAAGAGGGUUUCCCACAGCCCCAGGUGGAUUGGACUCAGAAGCAUGUUUCUGAUGUGCUCAAGAGUGUGGCCCAGACAAGGCACAGAGGACAGGAGUGUCAGAGGCAUUCAAACAAGAGCGACUCCAUCCUGAACGGGGGCUGGGUAAAAUGACGCUGAGGCCUGCCAGGUUGCAUUCCCAGGAGGUUAGGCAUUCUUAAGUCACUGGAUGAGAUAGGAGAGGGGCACAAGAUACUGGUUACAAAGACCCUGCUGAUAAAACAGGUUGCAGUAAAGAAGCUCGCCCAAACCAAAAUGGCAAUGAAAGUAACCUCUGGUCAUCCUCACUGCUCAUUACACGCUAAUUAUAAUGCAUUAGGAUGCUGAAAGACACUCCCACCAGCCCCAUGACAGUUUACAAACGCCAUAGCAACAUCUGGAAGUUACUCUAUAUGACUUAAAAGGAAAAGGAACUCUCAGUUCUGGGAAAUUCCCACCCCUUUCCUGGAAAAUUCAUGAAUAAACCACUCCUUGUUUAGCAUAUGAUCAAGAAAUAACCAUAAAAGUAGCCAACCAGCAGCCCUUCGUGCUGCUCUGCCUGUAGAGUAGCCGUUGUUUUAUUCCUUUACUUUCUUCAUAAACUUGCUUCUGCUUUA